RNAcentral lists this ribosomal RNA (392 nucleotides) under uncultured bacterium. Its description in RNAcentral is "partial 16S ribosomal RNA". It matches the Rfam family "Bacterial small subunit ribosomal RNA", at positions 523 to 918 of the family's 1533-position model. The record is from RNAcentral.
ACACGUAGGGGGCGAGCGUUGUUCGGAAUCAUUGGGCGUAAAGGGCGCGCAGGCGGCCGGGUAAGUCUGGUGUAAAAUGGUCAUGCUCAACAUGAUCAUGCGCUGGAAACUGCUUGGCUUGAGUCAACGAGGGGAUGCCGGAAUUCCAGGUGUAGGGGUGAAAUCUGUAGAUAUCUGGAAGAACACCGAUGGCGAAGGCAGGCAUCUGGCGAAUGACUGACGCUGAGGCGCGAACGUGCGGGGAGCAAACAGGUUUAGAUCCCCUGGUAGUCCGCACCGUAAACGAUGUGCACCAGGUGGCGGGCAGCAGCUCUGGUUCCCGAAGCAAACACAUUAAGUGCACCGCCUGGGGAGUAUGCUCGCAAGGGUGAAACUCACAGGAAUUGACGGGG